This 916-nucleotide long non-coding RNA is filed under the name Oryza sativa Indica Group (long-grained rice). Its description in RNAcentral is "lncRNA OsZS97_06G002320". The record is from RNAcentral. Lineage: Eukaryota; Viridiplantae; Streptophyta; Magnoliopsida; Poales; Poaceae.
CAAUUUCUCCAAUUCGUCGCUCUCCUCGCCUGCGCACCGCAGGCGGCGGCGGAAGCGGAACUGCUUGUCUGCUUCUGCGAGUGCGAGUGCGAGUGCGAGUGCAGCCUGCAAUUUGGGGGGAAUCGCAGCGCCGUCACCGCAGGAGCGGGAGCUAGGAUGGAGAAGAAUAAGUACAUCGGAGGGGGAUAUCUUCUUUCAGAAGAGGAGGCUCUAGGAGGAGGUCAAUUGAUAGAUGAAGCAAAAGAAAUGGCAAGGAAGAAGGAUCUAGAGCUAGAAGCAGAGGAGCUUAUUGCAGACAAUGUAGAUGAUGAAAUUCACCUUGAGGAAGUAAAUGAUAGUACUUUGAAUGAGAGCAGCUUCCCCUGCACUGCCAUGACAAUUUCUUGGAGAACUGACAGGAGAAACUUGAUCACUGGAACAGAGAGGUUCAUGUUGAGAAAUGUUUCGCACAGCUCUCAGAGAAGAGAGAAAGAAAGGGACAAAAUGAUCCAAAGUGAAGGUUUCAUUGAGGCCGAAUGCUUUGUCAGUGCUAGCACUAGCAGGAUGCUGCUGGUAGAGGUUUUCAGUGGUGAACUGGUACACAUGGAUGGAGAAUUGGCAGUGGCUCUAAACAAUGUUCUGUCCUGGGCUGUGGGCCUGUGUCCAAAUCUUAUUACUGCUGCAUUCUCCUGUUUUUGCAUAAUGAUGUGUCAAGGCGCUGGCACUAGCAGGAUGCUGCUGGUGACUUUAGAGGUUUUCAAUGGUGUAACUGGUAGUGGUACACAUGGAUGUUGCCUCCUGGGUUGUGGUCAAAUCUAAUUGCUGUUGUUUCAUGAUGCAGUUUGCUGUGUCCAACAUCUUUAGCAAACUGAUCAGUUUCUGUUUUCCUUUUGUCGCAUUGCUGUGUAAAAAGUCAUAUGGUUUCUAUAAAGUGAAG